AUGGAAUUUGAGCAGGAAAUGCUGCCAAUCUUAGCCCACUUAGCUCACUUGGAGGGGCAAGUGGAGAAGGAGGAGCGUACAAGGGUGUACAGAAUACAGAGAAACCAGCUGCGCUCUCUGGCCGACCCAUUUGUUGCACCCGAUAGGAUUUUCAAACAGAAUUUUCGGGUCAGCAAGGCCAUGGCCCACACCCUCAUCGAGAGGCUAGCCCACCAUUUCCCGGCCACCCGAAUGUCAUCUUUGACACCCACCCACAGGGUCCUUUCCACACUGAGGAUUUUGGCAGGCGGAAGCUAUCAGAGAGGGAGUGUGGCGGAGCACAGCUCUGUCAAUAUGUGCCAGGCGUCAGUAAGUAAAAGUAUGCACAAGGUGCUCGAUGCUAUGCUUGUGGAAUUGGGGGCAGAAACAAUUAAAUUUCCCCAGACAGCAGAAGAAAGAGCCGCCAUUCAGCUGGGAUUUUACCAGAAAUUUGGCAUGCCAGGUGUUAUAGGGGCAGUUGAUGGUACAUUAAUCUGUAUCAUUCCACCUAAAGAAAACGAGGAGCAAUUCUUCAGCAGAAAACAUUGCCACAGCAUUAAUGCCCAAAUUGUGAGUAAAAUUUUAAAAGAUUUUCUGAUUUAAAAAUCUUAAUAACUUUUAAUUAAAGUUUACAAGAUGUGCCUGUUGAACUGAUUCAGCGAUUUCCUUUAAUAUUCAAGCUGGUUUCAAGAGACUCAUUUGUUAGUUUAUUCAAGAUUAAAAAACACAUUGUCGACGUAUUUGUUUGCGAGUUCGAGCAUUUUUGACGAAACAAGUUUAUUGAUUUGUUCUCUUCUCCUUUUUUUUACUGAGUUACUUUUUGGUUCAGUUAAUAAUUAAUAAAUUUACAUUUUGUAACAAUUAAAAAAAACUCUUUGUCUGCAGAUUUGUGAUAGCAAUUCGCGCAUCCUCAAUGUGAAUCCGCGACAUGGAGGAGCAACUAAUGAUUCAUUCGUUUGGGGCCAAUCUGUGAUUUAUGAAUACUUACGAGAUCUUGUCGUCAUUGAUGGUGUUACCUAUGUUUGGCUAAUAGGUAUGUAUUGAGUUUAAAGGUAGUAAAUCUUUCAGAAUCGGCAUUCCAAGGAGGAAAAUGUGCCUUGAAUGCCUUCAUCUAGCCUCGUCCUCUGUAAAAUUGAAAUUAAAGUGAAAAUUAGAAUUAGAGAAUCAAAAUUACAAAGAUACAUUACCGAAGAGCAGAAAAACCAUGAGUACCCGGAGUAAGGAUGUAACUGAAAACUGAAAAUUGCAAGAUGUUUCUCAAAUGAACGCCAGAAUUAUUAAUUGCAAGCGAGAGAAAAUGAAGGAAACUCGACAAGAACUUCUUAUCAGUUU
This 1350-nucleotide long non-coding RNA is filed under the name Bemisia tabaci. RNAcentral describes it as "lncRNA ENSASIAIIG013301". Lineage: Eukaryota; Metazoa; Arthropoda; Insecta; Hemiptera; Aleyrodidae. The record is from RNAcentral.